RNAcentral lists this ribosomal RNA (494 nucleotides) under uncultured bacterium. RNAcentral describes it as "partial 16S ribosomal RNA". It matches the Rfam family "Bacterial small subunit ribosomal RNA", at positions 28 to 504 of the family's 1533-position model. The record is from RNAcentral.
GAUGAACGCUGGCGGCGUGCCUAAUACAUGCAAGUCGAGCGAACGGACGAGAAGCUUGCCUCUCUGAUGUUAGCGGCGGACGGGUGAGUAACACGUGGAUAACCUACCUAUAAGACUGGGAUAACUUCGGGAAACCGGAGCUAAUACCGGAUAAUAUUUUGAACCGCAUGGUUCAAAAGUGAAAGACGGUCUUGCUGUCACUUAUAGAUGGAUCCGCGCUGCAUUAGCUAGUUGGUAAGGUAACGGCUUACCAAGGCAACGAUGCAUAGCCGACCUGAGAGGGUGAUCGGCCACACUGGAACUGAGACACGGUCCAGACUCCUACGGGAGGCAGCAGUAGGGAAUCUUCCGCAAUGGGCGAAAGCCUGACGGAGCAACGCCGCGUGAGUGAUGAAGGUCUUCGGAUCGUAAAACUCUGUUAUUAGGGAAGAACAUAUGUGUAAGUAACUGUGCACAUCUUGACGGUACCUAAUCAGAAAGCCACGGCUAACUAC